This 254-nucleotide ribosomal RNA is filed under the name uncultured bacterium. RNAcentral's name for it is "partial 16S ribosomal RNA". It matches the Rfam family "Bacterial small subunit ribosomal RNA", at positions 524 to 776 of the family's 1533-position model. The record is from RNAcentral.
UACGGGGGGGGCAAGCGUUGUUCGGAAUUACUGGGCGUAAAGGGCGCGUAGGCGGCAUGACAAGUCACUUGUGAAAUCUCCGGGCUUAACUCGGAACGGCCAAGUGAUACUGUCAAGCUAGAGUGCAGAAAGGGCAAUCGGAAUUCUUGGUGUAGCGGUGAAAUGCGUAGAUAUCAAGAGGAACACCUGAGGCGAAGGCGGGUUGCUAGGCUGACACUGGCGCUGACAGCGCGAAAGCCAGGGGAGCAAACGGG